Anas platyrhynchos (mallard) is the source of this 919-nucleotide long non-coding RNA. RefSeq lists it as uncharacterized. Lineage: Eukaryota; Metazoa; Chordata; Aves; Anseriformes; Anatidae. The record is from RefSeq and is a predicted model, not a curated record.
GGUACUUUCAUCUCAGUCUCCUGACUUUGCUCUUCUGUGUAACUGCCAUCUGGGCUGCUCAAGAGAGGAAAAUACAGAGCAACUAUAGCAACCAGCCUCGGGAGCAAAGAGGAUGGCUUGUUUACCAGAUGCUUAAGACAAGCACUGAGCACUGGGGCUAUUAUAAAUUUCAUCAUACUUAGAAAAGCAGCUGUUCAAGUUGGAAUCUUCUAUAUGCUAAAAAGAGUGAGCAAGACUCCCUUCACGGAGUGCCUGCCUUUUGUCUGCUCAUCGAAUAAACUUCUGAACGCUGCAGAGCAAGAGUUUUCCUGUUUAAGAAGCUCAGGAAAUCAGGUUUAAUGUCAUUCCAAACAAGUCAGCUCUGUACAGAUACUGUACCUCUCCCGGUCCUGUGCGCAGCUGUUUACUGCUGAGGUGUUCUGGGCUUCAUACAGCCCGCUCUGCCGUCGGGCCUGUUCAGUCCGCAUGGGCAGCCUGCCCUCCACCUCGGCCAGCCAGCCCUGCAAAGGAAAAGCAGCAGUCUCACACAUCCCCGGUGCUUAGACUUGCAGGGGGACAUAUGUUGUUUUUACUUUGCUUUGUUAUGUUUGACAUUCAGACUACGGAACUAAAACCAGAUUGUAAAUAUUUAAAAGUUUUCUUUUGAGUUGCAGUUGUUGGGUAUAAAUAGAUUCUGUAUGUUCAACAUUUAUUAAAACUCAUGGUCUUGCCACAAAACACGCUUACUGAAAACUUGAUUCUUUUGUGACGCUGGGUGCUGAAAACAUCGAGUUAAGAGGAGCAGUUAAUAGCUGUUUGGACAUGCUGCUGCUCUCGUCACAAUAAAGUACGAAGAUAUGUGGCAGUUUAAGUAGUCUCAAUAACAUCAGACACGCAGCAGUCUUAGUGACUGCUGAAUGCAAGAGGAGUAAUCUGGGGA